GGUGUAGCUGUUGCCAGCCUGAAUGUCUGUCCAUUGACUCGAAGCUUUCCCCCCAUUUUGAACUAUGAAUUCGGGAGCGGUAUGUGAGACAGUGCGGAAGGAGAGGACUUUGCAUUUGCCUGCCCAUCAUCGAUCGAUGAUGAUAAUUUAUCGAAAAGCAGUACGAGUAAUUGUGCGGAAAGCGAGUGAAUUGGCCGGACCGUUUGUUGAGCCAUUAUCGUGUUGCUACUCGGGCAUGCACGCCCGAUUUGCUUGCGAACAGGAACCUGAACAAAAAUGCGUACGUACGCAGCACACCUUUUGGAAGCAAUCAAACUCCAUCCAAGCAAGCCGUUCUACAAAUAUUGACAACAGGAAUGUGGGUCCAAUUAACGGCGCAAUAGGGCCGUUUCUCGGUGUUCUGGGAAAGCGUUGAUCCGAGUGUGCCGAUUUACGAUAGGCAUAAAUAAAUGAGCCUUUUAAAUUAAACGAGCCCUUCGUUUGCCCCUCACUCCAUUUCACAGGUCCCGUCCGUAAGCCACAGCACAGUUUGGAAAACAAUGAGCGCUCGAUGUAAUUAGAAGGUAAACAAGGGGGUCCAACAUGGCGACCGGCCAAAGAACCACGCAAGCUUACGAAACUGUUUACUUUCUGUAGCGCACAAAAAAAAAAAAAAAACAGAUAGACAGAUUGAUGCUCUGAAGUACAGCGGGAAAUCCCAUACGUACAGCAUGGUUUGCAAGAACCGGUAAACUAACCUAGCUAAGGUGACUCGUCUUUUUCAUCGAUGGACAACACGGUCCGCAACGCGUAACGGAGCGUCACCCAGUCGAACUCUUCCGCUGGUGGUGUAGCAGUGUAGACGUGUGCGUGAAAGCUUUCGCCAAAGGGCCCCAGUAAGCUAUGGCAACACUUCCGCCACUGCCUGGACCACCGAACGCAGCUGCACGGGAACGGCAUCAUCAUCAUCACCGUCGGCGUGCUCACGGGCUGUACUUCCAUUCAUCACCACCGAAGGUACUCCAAAUGAAUAACCACUUAGCAGCAAAGGACAACGAUUACAGGAGCAGAGACGCGAUCAAACCGUCCAACAUUCGAAUAUGGUUGCAUCACAAGCAAAUGUCCAAGCUGGCGAAAGUGCUGUGGGCCGGUCAGGGUAUGCGGCUGCGGACGGAAACUUCACACCAUCCGCGUAUGAAGCGGUUCCUGGAGUGCGUUCCGCACGUUAUGGGUGUAAUUAAAGACAUUCAUCAAGCCGUAAUAGACAAUGAUCUGGAUGUGUUGAAGGAAAAGACGGCUCCACCGGCACCGAGAGUCAUACUUACCAGCAAGGAUGCGAACGGUUUGACGCCUCUGCAUAAGGCCGCCGGGUUGGCGCACACACAGAUCGUCGAAUACAUCCUAUCCGUGUGGCCCAGCCUUUCGUCGGAUGAGGAUCACACCGGCAAGACGCCGCUCCAUUGGGCGGCUAGCGCGAAAAACAACGCGCGUAGCUUUAACCUGCUCGUGCAGGCCGGUGCCGACGAGACGGCACUGGACGAUCGCCACAAACCAGCCGAACACUACAAGAACAAACCGAGCGAUAUUGACCGAUCGUUGCUGUCCGUCAUCCCGGAAGCGCCCCGAAUAUCGCAGCAGGGUUUCCCGGCGUACUUCGAUUGGGCCAUGUUUACGCUCCCGGACGAUUCCGAUGAGGGUUCACAGCCAACGCGAAUGAAACCGUUUCUUUCGCAGAAUAAUCUACUGGAUGCGGAAACGCCCGAGGAAGGUGCCGGGGUGGCCGACACGGUCAGCAAAUCGAAAUCGGUACACAAUCUCACGAACGGUGUGCUGACCGAGCUGGGUCGGGACGAGCAGCAAAGUAAUGGAGUGGAAAGCACGGAGGAAAAACAAAUUGAACAGGGCGAGGUAGUGGAUGAUAAACCGAAGGAGGAAAACGAUACUGAGCAGGAAGCGGCACUGUCUGAGAAGGAGGACAAUCGUGAGGAAGCAACGGAAGAAAAGGACGGGACGGUAGUGGAGCAUAAUGAAGAAAUUAGUGUUCAGCCGCCGGACGCAGCUGAAACCGAUGCCCCGGUCGUAUCGAACGAUAAGGUAGAUGGGGACGGUGAUGAUCAAGCACAAGAAACACAGCAAACCGAAUCGGAUCGUGGGGAAGCUGAGGGAAUGUCUGAACAUAAUGACGAACCGGAUAUAACAGAUUCGGCGGAAGUAAAAGAAAACGGUCAUUUAGAUGCACCGGAAGACGAACCACAAGUAAGCCGUAACUCGUCCGCUAGAGAAGCUAAAGUUACGGGCAGUGCUAAAAGCAACGAAAUAGACAGAGCAUCCGAUACGGAGAUCGAACAGGAGGACAACCCUUCACCGGUCGCGCUUGAAGAGGCAGAGGUGUCAAAGGACAGCCUGGAACAGGUUCUAGCGAAAGAUGACGAAAUCGAACUGGAUAGUCUCGGAAAGGAUUUAGAACCGGAAGAGCUUGUAACGGGUGGUGAUCGCGGUCCUUCUGCAGCAUCCGCUAAAGGAUCGCUUAAAACCCCGGACUCGCAGUCCGGUUCUAGGGUAACUACAGGGAAAAGUAUCAAAUCAACCAUCACCGUGGAAGAGCAAGCUGGUGUAGAGGAGCCGAUUAGUAGAAAAUCUUCUGCUGCUGUUGUUUCAAACGGAUUGACCCCUUCUAAUGGCGUGGAUGGACAUUCUGAACCAGAAGACACGCCGGACGUUAAUGAUCUGGAGAAUCGUGACGAGCUAACAUCCGGUAAAAGUGGACGCCAUCGAACGUAUCCAAACUCAGCGAAGGAGUCGAUAACAUCCACAUCGCGUCCACCGACCGGUACCGAUGCUCCAUUGGAGGCCAUGUCACGGGUGGCUUCGUCAACGCUCACACCCACCACCCGCCCAUCGGGCAAUCGGUCGUCUCAUUCAUCCACCAAAAGUCGGAAAGCAUCCAUCGGUUCACAGAAGUCGGUGACCUCCACCGCCAGUAGCGCAACACGAGCGAAAACGGUUAACCAGGAGGACGGUGAUGGCGACGAUGAUGGUGACGAUUCGGAAGCAAACGAUGAUUCAAACAAUGCCGAUGUGCAGAUCGCUAGUUACCGUACGCCUGACGAGAAAUCAACUACAACGCGAUUAGAAAGUGCUGCGAGCGUUAGAGAGCAGGAUCCUGCCAACCAACCAACAUCGGCGCAACAAAUAUUAGAGGAAUCUACAGAACCAUCCAACGAGGCAGACACAGCAACGCAACCAACAGCGAAAUCCGUCUCACCAAAAUCAGCCAACGGUACUGAACUUUCCAGCCAAGUGCUGGAAAUUGAAGGAACAGUACAGGGAGAACCAGAUCAAGGACAGCUCCAGUCUCAAAACGAACCAGCAGUAGAACUUAACGAGCAGCCGAAUAUACAGCAAACAGUGCAGGACGCUAUUGAUGCUGCAGAUUUAGAGCAGUUGGCUGCAAUCGUGCUUAACGGCGAAGGAAAGCAGUUAAUCGGACGAAAGUCGGAACAGUCGGAAAUACAGGCCUUUCUGGACAAUGUUCCGGCGUACAUGGGUAAAAUACGGCGCGUACAUCUGGCAGCACGCGAGGGAAGCCUGCGUGAUUUACAGUCGGCACUGGACAGACGUAAAUUUGCCACGGCAAAGGAUGAGGUAUCACCGCACGGUGCAACACCCCUGCACGUGGCGACAAUAUUCGGUCAUGCAGGCAUUGUCCGGUAUCUGGCCGGUCGCUUUCCCGAGACACUCAGCGCGACGGACGACGAUGGACGAACGCCGCUACACUAUGCGGCCACGCUGAAGGACAACGGCCACUUUUACAAUCUUCUAACACAUCUCGGAGCCAACCCGAAGGUGGAGGACAAUCUCAACCAUUCGGCCGAAUACUAUCUGGGUCACGUGCAGUCCCAGGGCAUCCUUUCCCAUCGACAACUGUUGCGCGACUAUGGUGCCAAGGAGGAACUCGCCGAUGAGAUGCUGAACGAUCAAGUUCCGGACGAUCUGCACAGUGCCCGCCGUCCAUUGGACGAUGUCGACACGCUGACCACACUGGAACGAUGCUUCAAAAUCAUCCACGAACCUAUCGACGAUCUAGUGAAAGCGGUCGGGCUGCCCACCAACAGUGUCCCGGGCAGUGCCUCAUCGCUCCGCAUCCUGAUCACCUCGUACCUGGCGCGCUUCCUCAAGCGAAGUGUGUUCGAUAAGGUGAAAAAGCGACAAACCCGUCUAGAUCACAAUCUGUUCGACGUGAUAUGGCCGGCGAUGAAGAAGGCGACCAAGGAGAAGCGGUUGGAUGAGGAUUUGAACGUCGGUAUCGUCAUACCGGACUACGAUGUGUUUGUCGUGUUCCAGGAGUUUCUCGUACCACUAAUCAAGGACGUCCACUGUAUGGAGGCGACGCAACCGUUCAUGCCUCACCCUGCGAUGCAGUACUUCCCGCGCUACGCAAUAAACGAUCAACAGCCUGAAACAGGACCUACCUCAGCAUCUAGCAGCAAUGGUAACAUUCUGCGCGAAAACCCCGACAGUGUGCAGCUAAACCUGGACACGUCGGGCAAGUACAUUACCGGCUGUGUCAUCGAGUGUGCACGCAAUCUGGAUGCAUACGAGUUUCCACUCAACCUGGGCAUUGCCCAGCUGGAACAGGUGGAGCGUGUCAUUACCGCGAGGGUACUGUCGAUGGAUUUUGUGCGCGCUAUCGGUGAGACGGAACUCGGCACGUACUACAGUAUGAACGAAAUAUUGGAAAACCCUUCGGAAAUCCGCACUGUGCUGGCCACCAGCGGACUGCUCAUACCGUUGCUGGAUCAUACCGAUCCGUACCAGACGGCCGAAUCAAUCGCCAUUAAUGGACGGUACUGGCCGUACGGCCGGGGUGUGUACGUCAGUGUUGACGGGGGGCUAGCAGUGUGGGUCAACACGCAGGACCACCUGAGGUUGCUGUGCUGCACGGAAAGCAAGGAUCCAGCCUCGAUUGGCGCAGCGUACUCGAAAGUUGGCCGUGCCAUGAACUACCUCGAGGAGUGGAUCCAGUUCAAGCACAGCUACUUCCUCGGGUACCUCCUAUCGCGGCCCUCAUUUCUAGGCACCGGUCUAAAGUUCACCCUAACGCUUGUUCUGCCCCAUCUGCGCAAGGAGCAGGAAAACCUGCGCCAUCUGUGCGUUGUACGCGGCUUGCAUCUUCUGACCGACGAUGGACUUCCCUCGGUACGGAUGUGCAAUAUGCGCAGUCUCGCGCAAACCGAGUGGCAACUGUUUCAGGACUUUAGCAGCGCCAUUACGAACGUCGUCGCACUCGAGAAGGAACUGUCGAUGUCGAACUCGUUGCACAUUGCCGCAACGUUGCUGCGCAUAUUUCGUAAGAAGAAACACAGCCUGGCUGCGGAGGGCUCUGUACCGCAAAACUGAACGUUGCCCGUGCAUGGCAAGGAAGAUCCCGAACACUGUCCGUGUACCGACAGCGUAGCCACGUGCCGAGCAGUUUGAACCCCUUGUUGUUUCCCGCGCAGCUAGUGCGCUUUGCUGCCUGGCGCAAUUAGCGGGCGCAAAGUAGUAGUAUGUACGCUAGUGUUUCCUGUGUUGUGGUAGUGGUGGGUGUGGUAGUUAUAUGCGAACUUUAUGUAAAAAAAACCAUCCAUAUAUUGUCCUCGUGUGCGACAUUCAUAAGAGUUUCCUCGCCUAUCGCGCAUUGCGCUCUCCUGUAUCGUUACCAUAGUAACAGCACGCGCGCAAGUAGUAAACCGAUACGCAUGCAUGCGAAGAGGAGAAAGAGACAGAGAAAGAAGGAGACCCACGAUCGGGUGUGAUCGUGACGGGAGGAAACCAGGGAGGAACACACACAGACAAUUCCAGCUCCGGAGCUGGGCGAGCAACAGGUUGAGAUACCAUUAUUCCGUACCGAGGAAGGACGAUACUUGGCUACAUCGCUGGGAGAUCCGCUCAUCAAGGGACUGACGGAG
This is an RNA transcript of Anopheles stephensi (Asian malaria mosquito), 5930 nucleotides long. RefSeq lists it as uncharacterized. The record is from RefSeq and is a predicted model, not a curated record. The transcript is spliced from 16 exons. NCBI's taxonomy places the organism in Eukaryota, Metazoa, Arthropoda, Insecta, Diptera, Culicidae.